AGCGAACGCUGGCGGCAGGCCUAACACAUGCAAGUCGAACGAACCUUUCGGGGUUAGUGGCGGACGGGUGUGUAACACGUGGGAACGUGCCUUUAGGUUCGGACUACCUAAGGGAAACUUGUGCUAAUACCGAAUGUGCCCUUCGGGGGAAAGAUUUUUCGCCCUUCGAGGGGCCUGCGUCGGAUUAGCUAGUUGGUUGAGGUAAUGGUUCACCAAGGCGACGUUCAGUAGCUGGUAUGAGAGGAUGAUCAGCCACAUUGGGACUGUGACACGGCCCAAACUCCUACGGGAGGGAGCAGUGGGGAAUCUUGCGCAAUGGGCGAAAGCCUGACGCAGCCAUGCCGCGUGAAUGAUGAAGGUCUUAGGAUUGUAAAAUUCUUUCACCGGGGACGAUAAUGACGGUACCCGGAGAAGAAGCCCCGGCUAACUUCGUG
This 434-nucleotide ribosomal RNA is filed under the name uncultured bacterium. RNAcentral's name for it is "partial 16S ribosomal RNA". It matches the Rfam family "Bacterial small subunit ribosomal RNA", at positions 29 to 507 of the family's 1533-position model. The record is from RNAcentral.